GAUGAACGCUAGCGGGAGGCCUAACACAUGCAAGCCGAGCGGUAUUUAUUCUUCGGAAUAGAGAGAGCGGCGUACGGGUGCGUAACACGUGUGCAACCUGCCUUUAUCUGGGGGAUAGCCUUUCGAAAGGAAGAUUAAUACCCCAUAAUAUAUUUGAUGGCAUCAUUAGAUAUUGAAAACUCCGGCGGAUAGAGAUGGGCACGCGCAAGAUUAGAUAGUUGGUGAGGUAACGGCUCACCAAGUCGAUGAUCUUUAGGGGGCCUGAGAGGGUGAUCCCCCACACUGGUACUGAGACACGGACCAGACUCCUACGGGAGGCAGCAGUGAGGAAUAUUGGACAAUGGGUGCGAGCCUGAUCCAGCCAUCCCGCGUGAAGGACUAAGGCCCUAUGGGUUGUAAACUUCUUUUAUACUGGGAUAAACCUACUUACGCGUAAGUAGCUGAAGGUACAGUAUGAAUAAGCACCGGCUAACUCCGUG
RNAcentral lists this ribosomal RNA (479 nucleotides) under uncultured bacterium. Its description in RNAcentral is "bacterial SSU rRNA". It matches the Rfam family "Bacterial small subunit ribosomal RNA", at positions 28 to 507 of the family's 1533-position model. The record is from RNAcentral.